UCCAGGCCUUGAGGUGUGCCCAUCAGGGCAGUGCAUGUGAUGGUAACUUCUUGUGGGUGUUUGGUUGUAGUUGUGGACACAGAGAGUGCUCUUUCAGGCCCUGAGCGAGGGGCAGAUACCGUGCUGACUCCGAGCUGGUACCUCAAGCGUGAGUAGUCAGUCUGUCCUGCCUUCACAAAAAGGAGCGCCCCUUUUCCCUAUUUUAUUAACGAGAAAAUACCCUCAUAGGUUAAUGUGCUUUUGUAAAUCUAACAGUAGGGAUGAACGAUGACAAGGUUCCUGAAGAGUUCCCUGAAGGAUUGCCGGAUGUUCCAGAGGAGCUCCUGGCAGCCUUGGAUAAAGCCCCAUCUGAGACAGAUUCUGAGACUGUGCCGGAGACCUUAGCUGUGGAAGAAAGUGACAGUGUGCCAGGCUGACAUGAAAAAAGAGAAGCAAUAGAGGACACCAGCACACUUGCUGAGCCUGAGCAAUAUUCAGGGUCAUCCGGUGGGCAAAAAGCUGAGACUGCUGGACACCGUGACCCCGGCAAGUACUACAUCCUAGUAGGGACAGUAGCAGCCUCAGCUUUGCUUCUGCUUGGGGCAGUGUCUGUGUAUCUAGUCUUGCAUCAGCUGCUGAAGAGAGAGAGGAGGAGCCAGGAGGACAAAGAGGCAAGAGGACAGGACUGGGACUCUUCCUGGGAAAGCUGUGGUCAGCCUAGAGGUGAAGCAGAGUCAGGAGAAGGAGCGGCAAGCGGCGAGAGAGCCCAAGGCAAGGGCUUCAGGGACAGCUGCCGCCUGUUUCCUGAGCUCUUUGCAGCAGAGUUCGCCUCGCCCAGCUCUACAAGAACAUGGGCGCAGACCCGUCACCUCUGCCCACCUGCUCCUUCUGUGCUCUGGCUGACAACGCCUCUUCACGGGACCACUGGAUUUCCCUGGAGUCACCUCAGCCCACAGCAUCCUCUUGCCCCUCCUACCAAUACCAGCAGGACUAUUAUCUGUUAGAGGAGGAUGAUUAGUGAUAGUGAGAGAUGAUUAGUGAUAGUGAUAGUGAUAGUGAUAAAUAGUGAUAGUGCUAGUGAUUCUUUUAGGGAUAGUGGUAGGGAUACCUGAUAUUAGAGGGUGGUGGUUGUUUUAAUGAUAGUGAUAUUUAAUAGUAGAGGAUAGUGAUUGUUUUAAUGAUAGCGUUAUUUGAUAUUAGAGGACAGCGAUUGUAUUAGCGAUAGUGAUAGUUAAUAUUAGAGGAUGGUGAUUGUUUUAGUGAUAGUGGUACAUUUAGUGAUCGUGAUACUUGGUAUUAGCAGAUAAUGAUUGUUUUCUUGAUAUUGAUAAAUAAAUAUGUUUCCAAAAGCAGUAAA
Molecule: long non-coding RNA, 1336 nt
Organism: Passer domesticus (house sparrow)
Lineage: Eukaryota; Metazoa; Chordata; Aves; Passeriformes; Passeridae
Exons: 4
Source: RefSeq, a predicted model, not a curated record